This 492-nucleotide ribosomal RNA is filed under the name uncultured bacterium. RNAcentral describes it as "partial 16S ribosomal RNA". It matches the Rfam family "Bacterial small subunit ribosomal RNA", at positions 29 to 507 of the family's 1533-position model. The record is from RNAcentral.
AGUGUACGCUGGCGGUAGGCCUAACACAUGCAAGUCGAACGGCAGCACAGUAAGAGCUUGCUCUUACGGGUGGCGAGUGGCGGACGGGUGAGGAAUACAUCGGAAUCUACUUUUUCGUGGGGGAUAACGUAGGGAAACUUACGCUAAUACCGCAUACGACCUACGGGUGAAAGCAGGGGAUCUUCGGACCUUGCGCGAUUGAAUGAGCCGAUGUCGGAUUAGCUAGUUGGCGGGGUAAAGGCCCACCAAGGCGACGAUCCGUAGCUGGUCUGAGAGGAUGAUCAGCCACACUGGAACUGAGACACGGUCCAGACUCCUACGGGAGGCAGCAGUGGGGAAUAUUGGACAAAGGGCGCAAGCCUGAUCCAGCCAUACCGCGUGGGUGAAGAAGGCCUUCGGGUUGUAAAGCCCUUUUGUUGGGAAAGAAAAGCAGCAGGUUAAUACCCCGCUGUUCUGACGGUACCCAAAGAAUAAGCACCGGCUAACUUCGUG